AGGCACGAAACGGAGCUGAACAAUUUGUGAUGCAAUAGUAUAUGCAACCAUAAGAUGAGUGGUAUGAAUUACCAAUGGAUAUUCGGUACUCAGACACUCGUUUAGGCAUCUUAAAUGGCACCAACAAUGACAAGGGCGUAAACCUACGCUCACUACGUCAAGCAUGUUUUCGAAGUGUGUCGAACAGAAAGGUCAGAAUGGCGCACAGGCGUCUCGAUCCAUACGGAAUGUCGCUUGUUUCGAGGACGUCACAUGAUGAUUGCAUGCGCUGGGGAGGUCAAAGAACGAGUGACCAAAAACAAAAAGAAGAAAAGGCGUCGUGAGUCAUGAUGCUGCUUCGGCGACUGCUGCUGCGACCCAGACGAGAGACCUGCUCGGUGGGUAGCUGGGAAAAUUUCAGAUAUUUGAGGAGCUGCCCGAGGUGAGGCUCAAGGCGACGAUGCGGUACUUGUUAGGGGUGGUGGUAGACAGGCACCUGGAUGGAUGCGGUUGAAAGUAGCGUCCAAGCGCAGCAGAGCCAGAACUGGUCUCUGGUAUGCAGAAGCCCUCGUCACCGAACCUCACACCCACAUAACCCUGGGAGGCAGGACCCAAAUUGUUGCAGUAUCUGGAAAUUUCGGGUGCCCCAUCAUUAACCAGCCGGAAUCCUUUCGCGAGCAGGAAUAGUGUGAUCUCUGCGUUACCUCAACUUUAUUUAUUUAUUUAUUUUUGCCCCUCCCCUUUGACGACAAUCGACUGGGGGUGCAGCUCGCAUGCCUCUCUCGAAUCACCCCCUGACAUGAGUCGCGGCAUGGCCAAUUAGUGUUAACGGUCUUUCGCUC
This 821-nucleotide long non-coding RNA is filed under the name Physcomitrium patens. Its description in RNAcentral is "long non-coding RNA (PPAT_LNC013714)". Lineage: Eukaryota; Viridiplantae; Streptophyta; Bryopsida; Funariales; Funariaceae. The record is from RNAcentral.